RNAcentral lists this ribosomal RNA (468 nucleotides) under uncultured bacterium. RNAcentral describes it as "partial 16S ribosomal RNA". It matches the Rfam family "Bacterial small subunit ribosomal RNA", at positions 28 to 507 of the family's 1533-position model. The record is from RNAcentral.
GACGAACGCUGGUGGCGUGCUUAACACAUGCAAGUCGAACGGAAAGGCCAUGCUUUUGUGGGGUGCUCGUGUGGCGAACGGGUGAGUAACACGUGAGUAACCUGCCCUUGACUUUGGGAUAACUUCUGGAAACUGGGGCUAAUACCGGAUAGGAGCUCCUGCUGCAUGGUGGGGGUUGGAAAGUUUCGGCGGUUGGGGAUGGACUCGCGGCUUAUCAGCUUGUUGGUGGGGUAGUGGCUUACCAAGGCUUUGACGGGUAGCCGGCCUGAGAGGGUGACCGGCCACAUUGGGACUGAGAUACGGCCCAGACUCCUACGGGAGGCAGCAGUGGGGAAUAUUGCACAAUGGGCGGAAGCCUGAUGCAGCAACGCCGCGUGCGGGAUGACGGCCUUCGGGUUGUAAACCGCUUUCGCCUGUGACGAAGCGUGAGUGACGGUAAUGGGUAAAGAAGCACCGGCUAACUACGUG